RNAcentral lists this ribosomal RNA (253 nucleotides) under uncultured bacterium. Its description in RNAcentral is "partial 16S ribosomal RNA". It matches the Rfam family "Bacterial small subunit ribosomal RNA", at positions 524 to 776 of the family's 1533-position model. The record is from RNAcentral.
UACGGAGGGUGCAACCGUUGCUCGGAAUUAUUGGGCGUAAAGCGCACGUAGGCGGUUCGCUAUGUCGGAUGUGAAAGCCCCGGGCUUAACCCGGGAAGGGCAUCCGAAACUGGCGGGCUUGAGUACGGAAGAGGGUCUCGGAAUUCCCGGUGUAGAGGUGAAAUUCGUAGAUAUCGGGAGGAACACCAGUGGCGAAGGCGGAGACCUGGGCCGAUACUGACGCUGAGGUGCGAAAGCGUGGGGAGCAAACAGG